GUCCUAAGUUACGACUUUUCCAAUGAUUCUCUGGUUAAGAACGAGAACUUCUUACUUAACUUAAUCAUUAAUAAAGGUAGAUGGAUAGACUGAAGAUGUUACUGAAAUGCUUUUGUUUCAACCUCAUUGAUUUAAUUUUCUGUUAUCCUUUGGCAGAAGUUCUGGGAAAUGGUAUAAAUAUGUAUAAGUACAUACAUAUUUUGGGGUUUUUAAUUUUUUUUUAUUUCAGUGGCUUUUGGGGUACAAGUGGUUAUUGGUUACAUGGAUGAAUUGUAUAGUGGUGAAGUCUGAGAUUUUAGUGCACCCGUCACCUACCUGAGUUUUGUUUUUAAGAUUGAAACAUUAUUUGAUAUAUCCAUCAUCCUCCUCUUGGUGCCCUUUGUUCCUAUAUCUGAAAAAUUUUUUUACUGAAUUUCUAGGUUGUGAUAAUUUUAAUUCCCAUUGUUAGUACCUUAGUACCUAGUCAUAUAUUUUCCAGUUCUGUAGGAUUUUAAGCAGAAAAAUUAAGCAAAUAUGCUUUCAAGUGUCUAAUAUGAAGAGAAAAUUUGAUCACUUUUAUGAUAAUAGUUUUUUUUCUCUUCCUAAUAUAGGAGAUUUUUCAAGAGCUUGGGAUGUUCUUCUUGACCAUAUACAGUCAGCAGCACUCAGCAAAAACAAUGAAGUAUCUCUGGCUGCUCUGAAAAGCUUCCAGGAAAUUUUACAGAUUGUGUCCCCUGUCAGAGACUCAGAUAAGCCUGAGACACCACCUGUAGUUAAUGUACCUGUGCCUGUUCUUAUAGGGCCCAUAUCAGGCAUGAGCAGGCCAUUUGUAAGAACAGAUUCCAUUGGAGAAAAACUUGGAAGAUAUAGUAGCUCUGAGCCACCCAUUGUUACUGAUGAGCUUGAAGAUUUGAAUCUAUGGUGGGCUGCGUGGAAUACCUGGUAUAGAAUUGGAUCUGAAAGUACUAAGCCUCCUAUUACUUUUGAUAAACUAACUUUUAUUCCUAGCCAGCCUUUUCUUACAGCUUUAAUUCAGAUAUUUCCAGCUCUCUACCAACACAUAAAAACUGGUUUCAAUAUGGAUGACUUGCAAAAGUUGGGAGUCAUAUUGCACAGUGCUAUUUCAGUCCCAAUAAGUUCAGAUGCAUCCCCUUUUAUUCUUCCAUCUUAUACCGAAGCAGUUUUGACAAGUUUACAGGAAGCUGUACUUACAGCUUUAGAUGUUCUCCAAAAGGCCAUUUGUGUAGGACCAGAAAACAUGCAGAUAAUGUAUCCAGCUAUAUUUGACCAGUUGUUGGCAUUUGUAGAAUUUUCAUGUAAACCUCCACAGUAUGGACAGCUGGAAACAAAGCACAUUGCAAAUGCAAAAUAUAAUCAGGCGGAAUGGGUAGCCUUGAAUUAUGUGCCGUUUGCUGAAAGGUCUUUAGAAGUAGUUGUGGAUUUAUACCAAAAAACAGCGUGUCACAAAGCAGUGGUGAAUGAGAAAGUGCUCCAGAAUAUUAUUAAGACUCUUAGGGUUCCUCUCAGUUUGAAGUAUUCCUGCCCUUCUGAAAGCACAUGGAAACUAGCAGUAUCCUCUCUCCUCAGAGUUCUUUCUAUUGGGCUACCUGUUGCCCGGCAGCAUGCUUCUUCUGGAAAAUUUGACAGUAUGUGGCCAGAACUAGCCAAUACUUUUGAAGAUUUUCUCUUUACUAAAAGCAUACCUCCAGAUAAUCUCUCUAUUCAAGAGUUUCAAAGAAAUGAAAAUAUUGAUGUCGAGGUAGUUCAACUUAUCAGCAAUGAGAUACUACCUUAUGCCAAUUUUAUUCCUAAGGAAUUUGUUGGUCAAAUAAUGACAAUGCUUAACAAGGGCUCAAUACAUUCUCAGUCAUCUUCAUUUACAGAAGCAGAGAUUGAUAUUCGUUUGAGAGAGGAAUUUUCUAAAAUGUGUUUUGAAACAUUACUCCAGUUUUCCUUCAGUAAUAAAGUCACAACACCUCAAGAAGGCUACAUCUCACGAAUGGCACUCUCAGUGCUUUUAAAGAGGUCCCAAGAUGUACUACAUCGCUAUAUAGAGGAUGAAAGAUUAAGUGGUAAAUGCCCUCUUCCAAGGCAACAAGUAACAGAAAUUAUAUUUGUUUUAAAAGCAGUCAGUACUCUUAUUGAUUCACUUAAGAAAACUCAGCCUGAGAAUGUUGAUGGAAAUACCUGGGCACAAGUAAUUGCCUUAUACCCAACUUUAGUAGAAUGCAUCACCUGUUCUUCUUCAGAAGUCUGUUCUGCACUUAAAGAGGCACUAGUUCCUUUUAAGGAUUUCAUGCAGCCACCAGCAUCCAGAGUUCAAAAUGGAGAAUCUUGACCGGCUACAAUAUAUUUGAAAGCAGGAAGAUAGUCUAAAAAAUGUUUGCUCCUAAUUGAGUCUUCUGUGAGAAGGACAUUUCUUAUUGCAAAUAAUUCUUGGCAGCUGUUGUUGGCCUCCUUUAUAUUCUACUUACCUGAGUUCAGUAAUUCAUAUUACAGGCUUGCACAUCAACAAAGGCUCCUGAAUGAACAGCAGUGUAAGGCUUUAAUAAAUUAAACUGAUGGGAGGGAUAAUUAACACUACAGUAUACAUGCUACCAUAUCUCCAGUUGGUGAUUUAAAGUGAGCUUAUGUACAGUUUGUGGUGUAUGUGUUAAUGAUGUACUUUUU
RNAcentral lists this small RNA (2649 nucleotides) under Pan troglodytes (chimpanzee). RNAcentral describes it as "retained intron". Lineage: Eukaryota; Metazoa; Chordata; Mammalia; Primates; Hominidae. The record is from RNAcentral.